UCCAGACUCCUACGGGAGGCAGCAGUGGGGAAUAUUGCACAAUGGGGGAAACCCUGAUGCAGCAACGCCGCGUGAGUGAAGAAGUAUUUCGGUAUGUAAAGCUCUAUCAGCAGGGAAGAAGAUGACGGUACCUGAUUAAGAAGCCCCGGCUAACUACGUGCCAGCAGCCGCGGUAAUACGUAGGGGGCAAGCGUUAUCCGGAUUUACUGGGUGUAAAGGGAGCGCAGACGGCAGUGCAAGUCUGGGGUGAAAGCCCGGGGCCCAACCCCGGAACUGCUCUGGAAACUGUGCGGCUAGAGUACUGGAGGGGCAGGCGGAAUUCCUAGUGUAGCGGUGAAAUGCGUAGAUAUUAGGAGGAACACCAGUGGCGAAGGCGGCCUACUGGACGGUGACUGACGCUGAGGCUCGAAAGCGUGAGGAGCAAACAGGAUUAGAUACCCCCGUA
RNAcentral lists this ribosomal RNA (445 nucleotides) under uncultured bacterium. RNAcentral describes it as "bacterial SSU rRNA". It matches the Rfam family "Bacterial small subunit ribosomal RNA", at positions 330 to 792 of the family's 1533-position model. The record is from RNAcentral.